AUUGAACGCUGGCGGCAGGCUUAACACAUGCAAGUCGAGCGGAGUGAUGGUGCUUGCACUAUCACUUAGCGGCGGACGGGUGAGUAAUGCUUAGGAAUCUGCCUAUUAGUGGGGGACAACAUCUCGAAAGGGAUGCUAAUACCGCAUACGUCCUACGGGAGAAAGCAGGGGAUCACUUGUGACCUUGCGCUAAUCGAUGAGCCUAAGUCGGAUUGGCUAGUUGGUGGGGUAAAGGCCUACCAAGGCGACGAUCUGUAGCGGGUCUGAGAGGAUGAUCCGCCACACUGGGACUGAGACACGGCCCAGACUCCUACGGGAGGCAGCAGUGGGGAAUAUUGGACAAUGGGGGGAACCCUGAUCCAGCCAUGCCGCGUGUGUGAAGAAGGCCUUAUGGUUGUAAAGCACUUUAAGCGAGGAGGAGGCUCUUUUGGUUAAUACCCAAGAUGAGUGGACGUUACUCGCAGAAUAAGCACCGGCUAACUCUGUGCCAGCCGCCGCCGUAA
This 503-nucleotide ribosomal RNA is filed under the name uncultured bacterium. Its description in RNAcentral is "partial 16S ribosomal RNA". It matches the Rfam family "Bacterial small subunit ribosomal RNA", at positions 30 to 523 of the family's 1533-position model. The record is from RNAcentral.